GUUCAUUACAUUUAAAUUAAGGGCAUAAAGUAUGGCUGAAAUUCUCAAAUUCGUUUAUGCUUUGAUCAUCUUUCUUUCUUUUAUUCUGGCCGUAAUCAGCGAAGAUAUUGAAAACUGCGAAACUCAUUCAGAUUGUCCACAUUAUAUGUGUACCUCACCAGAAACUCCUUGGUGCGUGGCAUACCAAUGUGGGUGCUACUAAUAUUGUUCAAAUUUUCUCAUAUUUUGAUUUAUGCUUCUAUUAGCUUUCAAAUACUUUUGACAAGCUCAAAGCGUGUUAUCAUUGUAUGGAAGUAUUGAAUUACCUUUUUGUCAAAGAAAAUAUCAAAAACAACGGUGCAUAAAUAUAACCAGCAACUUUAAUGAAUAAAGAAAAUUUAUGAGUGAGAUCAUGAACCAAUUCUGCGUUGAUACCAAUAGUGAUUUGUGGGGGAUUCGUCUAGGAGCUGGUUAACUGAUGGGUUAUGUCCUUAGUCGUCUUCAUCUUGUUCAGAUGUGGCCGAGUGUUACCGAUAGGAAUUUAGAUGGUUUUCUGAUGGUGUUUUAUUUUUUCACUCUUGUUUUUACGUGGGAUUCUUUGAUUUUAUUAUCGCUUGACUUGAGUACUUUUUGUACUUAAAUUUUUAUAUUUGUUUGUA
This is a long non-coding RNA of Medicago truncatula (barrel medic), 638 nucleotides long. RefSeq lists it as uncharacterized. The record is from RefSeq and is a predicted model, not a curated record. The transcript has 2 exons. NCBI's taxonomy places the organism in Eukaryota, Viridiplantae, Streptophyta, Magnoliopsida, Fabales, Fabaceae.